GAACUCACUCCAGCGCCAAAGAGAGCCGGCUCGGGAAUGACGACUUUUUACGCAACUGCACGGAAGCUGAAGUCUGCAGGACAGGUCUACUGAUUGGACAAUUAUUACAGUGGACCUGUCAAGCAGCUUAUUAGACGUGACGAUAUAGCACAUGGAACUCAAGAGCCCUCGGUGGAUUCCCAAGAAGUGGGUCAACCUUUUGUUCCAAAAAAUCCAGCUCCAGCAGAAGGGGAUGAGAAGCAAGUAGCCAUUGCUUCAAAAAGAAGACGCCGAUGGAAGGAGGAGAAGAAAUCUUCAUGGAAGACUACAUUCCGGCAGACAGAGACUUUUAACAUGUUUUAAAAAUGUUUGUUUUUCCUUUUAGAGAAGA
Ficedula albicollis (Collared flycatcher) is the source of this 370-nucleotide long non-coding RNA. RefSeq lists it as uncharacterized. The transcript has 3 exons. Lineage: Eukaryota; Metazoa; Chordata; Aves; Passeriformes; Muscicapidae. The record is from RefSeq and is a predicted model, not a curated record.